This 497-nucleotide ribosomal RNA is filed under the name uncultured bacterium. RNAcentral's name for it is "partial 16S ribosomal RNA". It matches the Rfam family "Bacterial small subunit ribosomal RNA", at positions 28 to 507 of the family's 1533-position model. The record is from RNAcentral.
GAUGAACGCUGGCGGCGUGCCUAAUACAUGCAAGUCGAGCGAACGGACGAGAAGCUUGCUUCUCUGAUGUUAGCGGCGGACGGGAGAGUAACACGUGGAUAACCUACCUAUAAGACUGGGAUAACUUCGGGGAACCGGAGCUAAUACCGGAUAAUAUAUUGAACCGCAUGGUUCAAAAGUGAAAUGCGGUCUUGCUGUGACUAAUAGAUUGACCCGCGCUGCAUUCGUUAGUUGGUAAGGUAAAGGCUUACCAAGGCAACGAUGCAUAGCCGCCCUGAGAGGGUCAUCGGCCACACUGUCACUGAGACACGGUCCCGACUCCUACGGGAGGCCGCAGUCGGGAAUCCUCCGCGAUGGGGGAGAGCCUGACGGAGCAACGCCGCGUGAGGGAUGAUGGACUUCGGAUCGUAAAGCUCUGUUAUUAGGAAAGUUCAUAUGUGUAAGUAACCGUGCACAUCUUGACGGUACCUAAUCAGUAAGCCCCGGCUAACUACGUG